AUUUCUAAAUCGCUUAAUUCAUUAGAAACGGGGGAACCAUUUGUGGCAUUUAUGCCGCGUGGGGUGAAUCCUAUGAAUGUAGGUAGGGCUACUCUAUUGGCCCAAAUCCGACAGCUAACCUCGUAAGCGUUCUGAGAGAGGAAUU
This 145-nucleotide small RNA is filed under the name Psychrobacillus sp. FJAT-21963. RNAcentral's name for it is "c-di-AMP riboswitch aptamer (ydaO/yuaA leader)". It matches the Rfam family "c-di-AMP riboswitch aptamer (ydaO/yuaA leader)". Rfam says of the family: This family represents a conserved RNA structure found upstream of the ydaO and yuaA genes in Bacillus subtilis and related genes in other bacteria. The ydaO/yuaA element is thought to act as a genetic "off" switch for the ydaO and yuaA genes in its native state. RNAcentral also lists the same sequence under 1 other name. The record is from Rfam by way of RNAcentral. Lineage: Bacteria; Bacillati; Bacillota; Bacilli; Caryophanales; Bacillaceae.